GAUGAACGCUGGCGGCGUGCCUAAUACAUGCAAGUCGAGCGAACAGACGAGGAGCUUGCUCCUCUGAUGUUAGCGGCGGACGGGUGAGUAACACGUGGAUACCUACCUAUAAGACUGGGAUAACUUCGGGAAACCGGAGCUAAUACCGGAUAACAUGUUGAACCGCAUGGUUCAACAGUGAAAGACGGUCUUGCUGUCACUUAUAGAUGGAUCCGCGCCGCAUUAGCUAGUUGGUAAGGUAACGGCUUACCAAGGCAACGAUGCGUAGCCGACCUGAGAGGGUGAUCGGCCACACUGGAACUGAGACACGGUCCAGACUCCUACGGGAGGCAGCAGUAGGGAAUCUUCCGCAAUGGGCGAAAGCCUGACGGAGCAACGCCGCGUGAGUGAAGAAGGUCUUCGGAUCGUAAAACUCUGUUAUUAGGGAAGAACAAAUGUGUAAGUAACUAUGCACGUCUUGACGGUACCUAAUCAGAAAGCCACGGCUAACUACGUG
Molecule: ribosomal RNA, 496 nt
Filed under: uncultured bacterium
Lineage: Bacteria
Description: partial 16S ribosomal RNA
Rfam family: Bacterial small subunit ribosomal RNA
Source: RNAcentral